Long non-coding RNA from Pistacia vera, 2233 nucleotides. RefSeq lists it as uncharacterized. The record is from RefSeq and is a predicted model, not a curated record. The transcript has 5 exons. Lineage: Eukaryota; Viridiplantae; Streptophyta; Magnoliopsida; Sapindales; Anacardiaceae.
GCUCGAACUCGACUCGACAGGCGAGCUACUCGAGCUCGAGUCGAGCCCGGGCUCGACUCGACUCGACUCGUUUGCAUCCCUCUCUUGCCAUAAGAUUUGGUGUUCGCUCAUCGAUUUGGUUGACUUGCCUGCAAGUGUUUAAUAAUUAAGCAUGACAAAGCAGGAAAUCAAGAAUGGAGGAGAAGAAAUGUUGAUCGACCGUCCUGACCAAGAACCUGUUAUUCCUGACGGCUUCAAUUCUAACCAUCCUUAUGCACUCACAGGCACGCACAAACUAGUGGUUAUUUCAUCUGUGAUCAUUCCACUUAAUUGUUUGAUGGGAAGCAUCCAGGUUGCGACAACUCCUACUUCGGCCAAAAAGAAUUUUCUUUCACUCUGGAUAAUGAUACUUAUCUGAGUUUCCAGUCUUUCAAUGGUGCAUCUGAGCUGGAAAAUGCAAUCAAAGAAAAGUGUCCAUUUAAAAUAUAUAUACGGCCUAUAUACACUAUAGAUGUAAGAUCUUGUUGUUUCUCAUAACUUUUAAUUAUAGCGUUUCUUUAACAUUUUCUUUUGUUUUCGUACUGACAAUGUAUCUGUCUUAAGGAACUAAGGAACUAGUUUGCUGUUUAUUAGUUCAUGUAGGCAACAUGAAACUAAGUGAGCAUGAAUACAUAAGCCCUAUAACAGUUACUAUUUAUUUGGAAAGUUAUAGGGUUUCCAUAUUAAGAAGGGGCACAAUGCCAGGAAGUUACUCUCAUUAUCAAUGAAAUAUCUACUAUUUCAGCCUUUUAUCUUUUGAUAUCCUCGGUAGGUCCUGCUGUGCUAUCAUUAUUUUGUUUUAGGUGGAGCUCAAAUUUUUGUCAUACAUAAGCCUCAAAUUUGAGCCUCUUAUCUUUUGUCUUACAUAAGCCCUCAAUUUUUUUUUAGGUGCAUGUGAUGUAUAAUGCAGACUGUAGUAUUGUGAUAAAAGUAAUAAAUUUGAGUUCAAAAUUUACAUAUAAUGGAAGUCUUAUUGGUUCAUGUAUCAUACAGUACAUAUGCUCCAUUUAUUGCCACAUUGUCCAGUUGCUGGAGCUUCAUAGCUAUAGUUAAAUUGCAUAUGCAGUGAUAUUGAAGAACUAAAGCAGAUUUGAUCUCUUUAUUUUGCAUCUUUAUGUUUUAUUAUGGGCUAGGUUCACAAUGCUCAUGUACAUUAGCAUGUGUAUUAUAUAUGAGCAUAGAUGCAUGGUUGAAAGUAAUAUGACGUAUUCUCGAUUUUGACACUGCCCAUUGAAUUUUAUGGUACAGAUGGUUUUUGUUUUAGUCAUAUUCUUUGGGUGUACAAUGGGUGUCUUGGUGUUCAUUGUUAGGUUUGUGAUGGGGUUUGUGAUGGAAAAGCGAGAAGGUAAUUCGAUAAAGAGUUGAAUUAUGUUUUCUUUUACUCACAUAUAUGUGUCAUGAGGCAAAGAAAGUUCAAUUGUACUGCCAUCACUCUAUGGGUUGACAAAUGAACAGAGAGGAGCUACUGAUGACUAUUUCAUGUAUACAAGGUGCUGUAUCCUGUUCUGGGAUAAAGUUGGAAUUGUGGGAGACUUUUGUUAGCAUUAAGUUUAAUUGAAGUUGUAUAUUUUGCAAUAUGUUCACAGCAAUGAAAAUAGUAAUAAGAUGUUUUCUCUGCCGGGUCCUGCACUUCAUUCUUUCCCAGUAUCAUAUACUGACGUUCUAAGGGAAUUCUUUGAGGAAAAACUGCUUUCAAGUCUACAAAUAUUUUCAAGUGAGGAAAGAUAAGAGAAGAUUCUAAGCAUGAUUCCUGAUGAGUGUGUACUGCAGAUAAUAUAUUCUUUUUGCCCCAACCCCCUUUUCUCUUACAUGGAAAGGUCUGCCAUUUCCUUUAAUAACUGAUGCUUUAUAACUUAUGUUUGCAGCUGUUACUUCUGAGCUUCAAGGGAAGUGGCUGGAGAAUAGGCGAUCCCCCAAUGACAUCAAUUUUGGUUUGUUUCUCGGUGGGAGCAACUAAAGCAUAUGCUGCAAUCAGGAAAAUAAAAGAAUGGGAGAAAACCACACUUGGGAAAUCAAUCAUGUUUUUCAGAUCAUCAUUCUUGCAGCCUCUGCUAAAAUCUUGAAAGGAGGAGAUUCAAAGUUUCUACAAUGCUAAACUACAGCUAACUAAGAAUUCUGAGUUGGUAGUGCUUUCAACAUUUCACGUUUCUCUAGAUUAAUUUACCAUCUCGUGUACUUUUACUAUUACUUUAAAAUUUAUAUUUCCUUUUCUACA